GAUGAACGCUGACAGAAUGCUUAACACAUGCCAGUCUUUGGCGAAGCUGUGCUUGCACAGCCUAGCCAAGGCGGACGGGUGAGUAACGCGUAAGGAACUUGCCCUGCAGUCAGGGAUAACAGACGGAAACGACUGAUAAGACCUGGUAAAGUCAGGCGGACUCAUGUCCAGCCUGAUGAAAAGAGAUGCUGCAGGAGAGCCUUGCGUCCUAUUAGCUUGUUGGUGGGGUAACGGCCCACCAAGGCGAUGAUAGGUAGCCGGCCGGAGAGGGUGGACGGCCACAAGGGGACUGGGAGACGGCCCUGACGCCUACGGGAGGCAGCAGUGGAGAAUAUUGGACAAUGGGGGCAACCCUGAUGCAGCAAUUCUGUGUGCACGAUGAAGGUUUUCGGAUUGUAAAGGGCUUUCAGCAGGGAAGAAAAAAAUGACGGUACCUGCAGAAGAAGCGACGGCUAAAUACGUG
RNAcentral lists this ribosomal RNA (463 nucleotides) under uncultured bacterium. RNAcentral's name for it is "partial 16S ribosomal RNA". It matches the Rfam family "Bacterial small subunit ribosomal RNA", at positions 28 to 507 of the family's 1533-position model. The record is from RNAcentral.